Molecule: ribosomal RNA, 210 nt
Filed under: uncultured bacterium
Lineage: Bacteria
Description: partial 16S ribosomal RNA
Rfam family: Bacterial small subunit ribosomal RNA
Source: RNAcentral
UAGGGAAUCUUCCACAAUGGACGCAAGUCUGAUGGAGCAACGCCGCGUGAGUGAAGAAGGUUUUCGGACCGUAAAGCUCUGUUGUUGGUGAAGAAGGAUAGAGGUAGUAACUGGCCUUUAUUUGACGGUAAUCAACCAGAAAGUCACGGCUAACUACGUGCCAGCAGCCGCGGUAAUCGUAGGUGGCAAGCGUUGUCCGGAUUAUUGGGC